RNAcentral lists this ribosomal RNA (480 nucleotides) under uncultured bacterium. RNAcentral describes it as "bacterial SSU rRNA". It matches the Rfam family "Bacterial small subunit ribosomal RNA", at positions 19 to 518 of the family's 1533-position model. The record is from RNAcentral.
AUGGCUCAGGACGAACGCUGGCGGCGUGCUUCAUACAUGCAAGUCGAACGAUAAGGCGUCUUCGGACGUACAUAAGUGGCGGACGGGUGAGUAAAAUGUAGAGAAUCUGCCCUAGAGAGGGGGACAACCGUUGGAAACGACAGCUAAUACCCCAUAUGAGCGUAGCUGAAAUGCUAUUCUUGAAAACUCCGGUGCUCUGGGAUGAGUCUGCAUCUGAUUAGCUAGUUGGGGGUGUAAUGGACCACCAAGGCGAUGAUCAGUAGCUGGUUUGAGAGGAUGAUCAGCCACAAUGGGACUGAGACACGGCCCAUACUCCUACGGGAGGCAGCAGUAGGGAAUUUUGCGCAAUGGGGGAAACCCUGAACCGCAGCAACGCCGCGUGACCGAUGAAGCCCUUCGGGGUGUAAAGGUCUGUCAGUGGGGACGAACAAUGACGGUACCCACAGAGGAAGCACCGGCUAACUCCGUGCCAGCAGCAGC